This 433-nucleotide ribosomal RNA is filed under the name uncultured bacterium. Its description in RNAcentral is "bacterial SSU rRNA". It matches the Rfam family "Bacterial small subunit ribosomal RNA", at positions 29 to 507 of the family's 1533-position model. The record is from RNAcentral.
AGCGAACGCUGGCGGCAGGCUUAACACAUGCAAGUCGAGCGCCGUAGCAAUACGGAGCGGCAGACGGGUGAGUAACGCGUGGGAACGUACCUUCUGGUUCGGAAUAACUCAGGGAAACUUGAGCUAAUACCGGAUAAGCCCUUCGGGGAAAGGAUUUAUCGCCGGAAGAUCGGCCCGCGUAAGAUUAGCUAGUUGGUGAGGUAAUGGCUCACCAAGGCUACGAUCUUUAGCUGGUCUGAGAGGAUGAUCAGCCACAUUGGGACUGAGACACGGCCCAAACUCCUACGGGAGGCAGCAGUGGGGAAUAUUGGACAAUGGGCGCAAGCCUGAUCCAGCCAUGCCGCGUGAGUGAUGAAGGCCUUAGGGUUGUAAAGCUCUUUUAGCAGGGACGAUAAUGACGGUACCUGCAGAAAAAGCCCCGGCCAACUUCGUG